UGAACUCAUUGAGAGUAGAGGCAGCGCGACAAUAGUCGCAAGUGUUUAGUCAUAUCAACUUAGAAACCGUAUCUGGGCUCAGGUGGGACCACCCGCUGAACUUAAGCAUAUCACUAAGCGGAGGAAAAGAAACUAACUAGGAUGGCCUCAGUAAGGGCGACUGAAGUGGCCAAAGCCCAAGAUGGUAAUCUCAGUCUUUCAGGCUGCGAGUUGUAAUCUUGAGAGGCUAAGCUUAACGGGUAGUGGCGCAGAAGUGAUCUGGAACGGUCCGCCAAAGAGGGUGACAGCCCCGUACGUGGUGCCGCGACCUACCUAGCUGGCUUUCAAAGAGUCGGGUUGUUUUGUAUUGCAGCCCUAAGCGGGAGAUAAACUUCUUCUAAGGCUAAAUAUAUAUGGGAAACCGAUAGCGAACAAGUACUGUGAAGGAAAGAUGAAAAGCACUUUGGAAAGAGAGUCAAAAGACCUGAAAUCGUUUAGACGGAAGCGGUAGAGAUGUAUACUUCAGCGUCACGCGGGGCUAACUUGUGUGGAGUUGUGAGGCCGGAUGGGGUAGCGUCGCUGCAGAGGCUUGGCAAGACCUCCUUCGGGAACCCCUUGUCUUUGUCGGUGGCGGUGCUGCCUGAGGGUGCCUUGUGCGAUCCGGUCAAAAUGGUCUUUACCGACUCGUCUUGAAACACGAACCAAGGAGUCUUACGUACACGCGAGUAUGCCAGUGGAAAAACUGCCAUGCGGAAUGAAAGUGAUUGGUGCCAAGCGCAAGCAGCAGCAUCGACCGACCAUGAUCUUCUGAGAAAGGUUUGAGUAUGAGCGUGUCCGCAAGGACCCGAAAGAUGGUGAACUAUGCCUGAGUAGGGUGAAGCCAGGGGAAACUCUGGUGGAGGCUCGUAGCGAUACUGACGUGCAAAUCGUUCGUCGAACUUGGGUAUAGGGGCGAAAGACUAAUCGAACCAUCUAGUAGCUGGUUCCCUCCGAAGUUUCCCUCAGGAUAGCUGGGACAAUUACGCAGUUUUAUUAGGUAAAGCGAAUGAUUAGAGGACUGGGGGGGUUCAUCCUCUCCACCUAUUCUCAAACUUUAAAUUGGUAAGAACCUGGACCUUUUCUUAAGUGAGGCUCGGGGCUCAAUGCGUGUCCUUAGUGGGCCAUUUUUGGUAAGCAGAACUGGCGAUGAGGGUUGCUCCUAACGUUAGGUUAAGGCGCCAAACUACGAGCUCAUCAGAAACUACAAAGGGUGUUGGUCCAUCCAGACAGCAGGACGGUGGCCAUGGGAGUUGGAAUCCGCUAAGGAGUGUGUAACAACUCACCUGCCGAAUG
Molecule: ribosomal RNA, 1311 nt
Filed under: Laboea strobila
Lineage: Eukaryota; Ciliophora; Spirotrichea; Strombidiidae
Description: eukaryotic LSU rRNA
Rfam family: Eukaryotic large subunit ribosomal RNA
Source: RNAcentral